This 233-nucleotide ribosomal RNA is filed under the name uncultured bacterium. RNAcentral describes it as "partial 16S ribosomal RNA". It matches the Rfam family "Bacterial small subunit ribosomal RNA", at positions 118 to 347 of the family's 1533-position model. The record is from RNAcentral.
UGAGCAAUCUGCCCUUCUCUUUGGAAUAAGCGUUGGAAACGACGUCUAAUGCCGAAUACGACCUCCUUUCGCAUGAUCGGAGGUGGAAAGCUCCGGCGGAGAAGGAUGAGCUCGCGGCCUAUCAGCUAGUUGGGUGGGGUAACGGCCCACCAAGGCGACGAUCCGUAGCUGGUCUGAGAGGACGAACAGCCACACUGGGACUGAGACACGGCCCAGACUCCGUACGGGAGCAG